UACGGAGGAUCCGAGCGUUAUCCGGAUUUAUUGGGUUUAAAGGGUGCGCAGGUUGUUUGAUAAGUCAGUGGUGAAAGUCUGUCGCUUAACGGUAGGAUUGCCAUUGAUACUGUUAGACUUGAAUAUGGAUGAGGUAGGCGGAAUGUGUAGUGUAGCGGUGAAAUGCAUAGAUAUUACACAGAACACCGAUUGCGAAGGCAGCUUACUAAUCCAUCAUUGACGCUGAGGCACGAAAGCGUGGGGAGCAAACAGGA
Molecule: ribosomal RNA, 254 nt
Filed under: uncultured prokaryote
Description: partial 16S ribosomal RNA
Rfam family: Bacterial small subunit ribosomal RNA
Source: RNAcentral